Long non-coding RNA from Cyprinus carpio (common carp), 1457 nucleotides. The record is from Ensembl. NCBI's taxonomy places the organism in Eukaryota, Metazoa, Chordata, Actinopteri, Cypriniformes, Cyprinidae.
GAUAGCUGAAAAUAAUGAUAGGAUGAUGAUCUUUUUUUUUUUUUCCUGUCUUCUGAAUCUUCCAAAACCUGUAUAUUUGAGGACAAAUUCUCCGUGUAUCUGGUUUGUUUGUUCCUCUGCUCCUUGACACAUAAAGGUCACAACUGCUUUGUUCUGUGGAUUCACAGUGUGACCAUUUAACUAACCUGAACAGAUCCGGUCUGGAACACCCACGUAACUGAUUCAGCAUGAGAACACACAGCAUUCUUCCUGUAGCUUCACCCAAAUCAGAUAAAAAUACUUCAUGGCAUAUUUACUUUUUUCCCCUCAUGCUCAUUUAGAAAUACAGAUGUAAAUAAGAACAAACAGGCUGGAACUGUAAGCUCAUGCAGAUAUUUUCUACUUUUCCCCAAGGUCAGACCACGGACUCAUCCCCAACCAUGAGAUCCCCUCUGAAUAAAGUCAGACUGAAAGAUCGCAUUAAUUCAGAGAGUGACAUUUUGGAAUCACAAGCCAGUACAGCCUAUCAAAGCGUCUCCUCUCCUUCAACAAAUUUCUCAGCUGACGAGGUCACACCUACUGUUCCUUCUCCAUCACAAUCAUCCAGAGACGCUGUAGUGCACGAUGACACCUCUCCUUCAUCAGCCAUCUCACAGACCCCGGAGCUACAAGAUGUCACCACCCUCAACACGGACACAGCCUCAGUACCAGUUUCUUCUGCUAGCAGCCCAUCAAUUUCUUUUUUGAAGAGCACCGUUUCAGAUUCAGUAGCCACAACAGCUCCUGCAACAUCCAUCAGUCCAAGUGAAGGACCUCAGACUGUCUCUUCUUCAGCCAGUGGUGCGAUCCAGACGACACAAACAGCUCCACCAUUUACCACCACUUACCCUCAGACAUCUCAGAUCUCCCUGACCAGCAGUUCAAAGGUCACUGGACCUGCUCCUUUGGAAGACCAGGAUGAAUCUUCUGAACUGGAUGUGGGGGAUCAAGAGUCAGGGAAGGUUCCCCACCGCCCUACAUUGCCCCUGGACCCCCUGCUCGCCGCUCUGGUCACCAUUUUCAUUAUUUGCACUGCCAUGGUCUCAGCCGUCCUCUUCCUCAGGUUCCGUCAGAGGAGUGAGCAUCCAGAAUUCCACCGGCUUCAAGACCUUCCUAUGGUGAGUCUUGGAUUUGGGCAGCAAGUUGUGAUACUUAAAAUUGAGACAUUUGAAAGGUUUAUAGAUUUCCAUUAGAGGUCGACGAUUGAUCCAUUUUGCUGAUUAAUUGGCACUGAUAACUGACUACUGAAACAAUAGUGAAAGUUUUUUUCAGGUUGCAUCCAUUGCUGGAGCAACUGAGAAGGUCCACUGUCAUUAUACAGAAUGAGAGCCGAAUCAGACACCUCAUGGAGUUUGUUUGUUAUGCAUCUGUUAUCCAGCAAAGUUGCAUAUUUAAAGCUAGUGACAUCUGACAAAUAAAAAAUUAAAAAAUGAUCGUCA